RNAcentral lists this ribosomal RNA (741 nucleotides) under Triticum aestivum (bread wheat). Its description in RNAcentral is "partial small subunit ribosomal RNA". Lineage: Eukaryota; Viridiplantae; Streptophyta; Magnoliopsida; Poales; Poaceae. The record is from RNAcentral.
AUGUCGACGUCGUCGGGGGCCAAGGAGGCGCCGGCCAACAACCCGGGCCUUCAGGCCGAGGUCGACCCCGCCACCAAGGGCUACUUCAUGCAGCAGACAGGAGUUUUGUGGCUGGAUUUGGCCGAAGCAAUCUGUCGAACAGUUGGUGGUCCGUACGUGCUUGCUGUGGCAGUGGCAUUGUGCAGUAUCAGCAAUCUUCGCAAUCGUGCAGACAAAAGCAAGCGGUUGCCUCCAAUUUACAAGGUUUCAAAACCUGUGUAUGCAUCCCCUAGCCGUGUAAAUUUCCGCCUUGAUCAAAGAAAGGCUGUAGAGACAGUACCUGCAUAUCCGAACAUUUAUUUCUCAGUUGAUGACUUCGAUGAUCCUUUUGAUGCUGUGGUUUUGUCAGACCCAGAACACUGCUAUUGUGUGAUUCUCAAUGUGCAUGAUGGGGCAGCAUUUCCUGAAAAAAGCGAAUCAAGCAAUGUCGGUUCAAAUAUACAAUCUGGGAUCAACUCUGGGAGCAGUGGAGAGAACCCACCAAAGUUAUAUGUUGUUAUACGAGAUCCAUAUGGUCAAACAUACAACUUCCGAAGCUUGAAAGGAAGAAAGGCUGGAUUUUCAAAUGGCGGCAUAGACAAGUUUGAAACGAGAAAAGAAGCAAGGCUUCAAUCACUUGCCGGGUUUUCAAAUGGCGGCAUAGACAACUUCGAAACAAGAAAAGAAGCAAGGCUUCUAUCACUUAUUGAUAAUGCUAUUUAA